Small nuclear RNA from Ictidomys tridecemlineatus (thirteen-lined ground squirrel), 103 nucleotides. Lineage: Eukaryota; Metazoa; Chordata; Mammalia; Rodentia; Sciuridae. The record is from Ensembl.
GUGCUCACUUCGGCAGCACAUAUCCUAAAAUUGGAACGAUUCAGAGAAGAUUAGCAUGGCCCCUGUGCAAAAUGACAUAAUUCGUGAAGCGUUCCAUAUUUCU